UACGUAGGUGGCAAGCGUUGUCCGGAUUUACUGGGCGUAAAGGGCUCGUAGGCGGUUUGUCACGUCGGGAGUGAAAACUCAGGGCUUAACCCUGAGCCUGCUUCCGAUACGGGCAGACUAGAGGUAUGCAGGGGAGAACGGAAUUCCUGGUGUAGCGGUGAAAUGCGCAGAUAUCAGGAGGAACACCGGUGGCGAAGGCGGUUCUCUGGGCAUUACCUGACGCUGAGGAGCGAAAGUGUGGGGAGCGAACAGG
RNAcentral lists this ribosomal RNA (253 nucleotides) under uncultured bacterium. RNAcentral's name for it is "partial 16S ribosomal RNA". It matches the Rfam family "Bacterial small subunit ribosomal RNA", at positions 524 to 776 of the family's 1533-position model. The record is from RNAcentral.